UAACGUUACUUAGUGGCGAGUUAACAGCAGUUAGCAGCAAAGACAGCAAAAAUGAAGCAAAUGUCCUUGGGGAUUUUUCCGAAAGAAGUCAGUGGCUUUCUGGUGGAAGGAGAGAGAAAAAUACAGCAACACUUGAUGAGAAGGGACAGCGACAGGAGCAGCACAUCACUUGACAGUGCAGCCAUGCCCUCUGCUGCCCCUUGGGGGUUCGGAGGAGCUGCAGCGUGUCUGUGCCCACUGACAGAGUACUGAAGGACUGUCAAGUUGCACACUCCAUAUCACAUCCCGACCCUAACCCUACUG
This is a long non-coding RNA of Xyrauchen texanus (razorback sucker), 303 nucleotides long. RefSeq lists it as uncharacterized. The record is from RefSeq and is a predicted model, not a curated record. The transcript is spliced from 3 exons. NCBI's taxonomy places the organism in Eukaryota, Metazoa, Chordata, Actinopteri, Cypriniformes, Catostomidae.